RNAcentral lists this ribosomal RNA (468 nucleotides) under uncultured bacterium. RNAcentral's name for it is "partial 16S ribosomal RNA". It matches the Rfam family "Bacterial small subunit ribosomal RNA", at positions 28 to 507 of the family's 1533-position model. The record is from RNAcentral.
GACGAACGCUGGCGGCGUGCUUAACACAUGCAAGUCGAACGGAAAGGCCCUGCUUUUGUGGGGUGCUCGAGUGGCGAACGGGUGAGUAACACGUGAGUAACCUGCCCUUGACUUUGGGAUAACUUCAGGAAACUGGGGCUAAUACCGGAUAGGAGCUCCUGCUGCAUGGUGGGGGUUGGAAAGUUUCGGCGGUUGGGGAUGGACUCGCGGCUUAUCAGCUUGUUGGUGGGGUAGUGGCUUACCAAGGCUUUGACGGGUAGCCGGCCUGAGAGGGUGACCGGCCACAUGGGGACUGAGAGACGGCGCAGACGCCUACGGGAGGCAGCAGGGGGGAAUAUUGCACAAUGGGCGGAAGCCUGAUGCAGCAACGCCGCGUGCGGGAUGACGGCCUUCGGGUUGUAAACCGCUUUCGCCUGUGACGAAGCGUGAGUGACGGUAAUGGGUAAAGAAGCACCGGCUAACUACGUG